UAGGGAAUCUUCCACAAUGGACGAAAGUCUGUGGAGCAACGCCGCGUGAGUGAAGAAGGGUUUCGGCUCGUAAAACUCUGUUGUUAAAGAAGAACAUAUCUGAGAGUAACUGUUCAGGUAUUGACGGUAUUUAACCAGAAAGCCACGGCUAACUACGUGCCCG
Molecule: ribosomal RNA, 163 nt
Filed under: uncultured bacterium
Lineage: Bacteria
Description: partial 16S rRNA
Rfam family: Bacterial small subunit ribosomal RNA
Source: RNAcentral